AUUGAACGCUGGCGGCAGGCCUAACACAUGCAAGUCGAACGAGUGGCGGACGGGUGAGUAAUGUCUGGGAAACUGCCUGAUGGAGGGGGAUAACUACUGGAAACGGUAGCUAAUACCGCAUAUUGUGAGAUGGACCGGCGUUGUAUUAGCUGGGUGGUGAGGUAAAGGCUCACCAAGGCGACGAUACAUCGCCGACCUGAGAGUGUGAUCGGCCACCCGGGGACUGAGACACGGCCCAGACUCCUACGGGAGGCAGCAGUGGGGAAUAUUGCACAAUGGGCGCAAGCCUGAUGCAGCCAUGCCGCGUGUAUGAAGAAGGCCUUCGGGUUGUAAAGUACUUUCAGCGGGGAGGCGUUACCCGCAGAAGAAGCACCGGCUAACUCCGUGCCAGCAGCCGCGGUAAUAC
This 406-nucleotide ribosomal RNA is filed under the name uncultured bacterium. RNAcentral's name for it is "partial 16S ribosomal RNA". It matches the Rfam family "Bacterial small subunit ribosomal RNA", at positions 30 to 526 of the family's 1533-position model. The record is from RNAcentral.